RNAcentral lists this unclassified non-coding RNA (153 nucleotides) under soil metagenome. RNAcentral's name for it is "partial internal transcribed spacer 1". The record is from RNAcentral.
CAAGAAGAGACCCUAACCGGUCCUCUCAACCCUGCCCAUCGUACCUUUUUUGUUGUUCCCUCGGCGGCGCCCGCGGGCCCGCCGGCGGGAAGACCAAACAAACCCUUUGCAAACAAGCAUAUCCAAAAUCUCUGAUCAAAACAUGAAUUGUCA